UUGGAGGGCAAGUCUGGUGCCAGCUCGCCGCGGUAAUUCCAGCUCCAAUAGCGUAUAUUAAAGUUGUUGCAGUUAAAAAGCUCGUAGUUGAAUUUCGGGAUCAAUAUGCCGGUCAUGCCUUGGUAUGCACUGGUAUCUUUGAUUUCUCCCUUCUGACGAACUUUGAUGUCAUUAAUUUGGUGUCAUAGGGAAUCAGGACUGUUACUUUGAAAAAAUUAGAGUGUUUAAAGCAAGCUCACGCUUGAAUACAUUAGCAUGGAAUAAUGAAAUAGGACGUUUGAUUCUAUUUUGUUGGUUUCUAGGAUCGACGUAAUGAUUAAUAGGGAUAGUUGGGGGCAUAAGUAUUCAAUUGUCAGAGGUGAAAUUCUUGGAUUUAUUGAAGACUAACUACUGCGAAAGCAUUUGCCAAGGAUGCUUUCAUUAAUCAAGAACGAAAGUUAGGGGAUCGAAGACGAUCAGAUACCGUCGUAGUCUUAACCAUAAAUUAUGCUGACUAGGGAUCGGAUGAUGUUAAUUUUUUAAUGACUCAUUCGGCGCCUUACGGGAAACCAAAGUGUUUGGGUUC
Molecule: ribosomal RNA, 565 nt
Filed under: uncultured Glomeromycotina
Lineage: Eukaryota; Fungi; Glomeromycota
Description: SSU rRNA
Rfam family: Eukaryotic small subunit ribosomal RNA
Source: RNAcentral